UUCCUCUUCAAAGGUUCUGCUUGUCCUCUAUUUUCAGAGCCUAAUUUCCUUGCCUCCUUGCCACUAGUUAUGGUAAACAAUUUUCAGCUGUUCCCAAUCUGUAACCCACAUCCAUUCCCAAUCUGUAAUCCACAUCUGUUCCCAAUCUGUAACCCACAGCCAUUCCCAAUCUGUAACAACCCACACCUGUUCCUUAUUUGGCACCCUUAGUUCCGAAACUGCUCUUUCCUCUGCUGUAGCUCCCACCCCUGUUCCAUUUUGAAGUAGCCAAAUGGGAUCAGCUUAGAUUGUGUGGUCCCACCCCAGCCAAUGCAGACUGGACACAGUAGUAGGGACUGACUGUGUUAGGGAUAAAAACCCAUUCCCUUCUUCAUUUGGUGUAUUCUUGCAGUGACCAGAAGAACGAGCAGCGCUUCUGCAGAGAUUGAGUUCAACCUGUCCUGCAAUUUUCUGGAAGAAAACCUGCUAUCAGUUUUCAGAGAAUCAUCCUGGGAAGUGCUCUCUGACUUUCAGAAGGAGGAUGGAAAUCAUAUCCUAUGUAUAUCGCAUCCAGUGGAUGGGCAGAGUGCCUCUAGAAAGUAUUACUCACGGAUGCACUGCUCUGAGUGAGGGAUGAGUGUGAGGGUCAUAGGAUCCAGGCAAUGCAUACGUGGGGGUGGGGCAGGGAGGAGAGAAGUAGGAGGAUGCAGAUCAGCAGGAGAGGGGGAGGACUGGCAGGUGUCACAGAAAGUGGUGGUUAGAACCUUUAGCAGAGCAGCAGAGAUUGUGCAAAGAUGCAUGCAAGGAGACUGUGGAAAAAGCAAGUGUCUCUCCCUUUCUGGAAGGACACUUAGAUGGAUGAAAGGAGAAUUGUAUAAUCAGAUUUCAAUCUAUUGAUGUUGAAAAUGGAGACACUUAACAGAUUCUGAUGAUGGUAAUACUACUACUUUUUGUCUCAAUGCUAUCUUAUAGUUUUCAAAAUUCUUUCACAUUUUUUAUGGAACCAAACAUAACAUUGUAGAAAUGUUAAUAUUUUCUUGAAUUUUUUGAAGCCCCAAACCUGCUUGCUGACUGCCAAAUUCAGAGUAUCAAAUGUCAUUAAAGGUCAGUGAAUUCAGUGGGUGUCCGUGAUGUUGUCUGCAUUUUACUCCUGCAAUAACUAAUACAAAGAUCAUGUUCCCAACCUCACAUUCUAGCCUACUGUGUAGUUUGGAAAGUUAGAGUUUGUAAUUCUGUGGGUGCAGAAUAUUGUCCAAAGAGAGUUUGGUCAGGACACUCACUCAAAUGCUUAAAAGCAUGAAGGGUCUAGGAUGCAUUUUAUAUAUUU
Molecule: long non-coding RNA, 1306 nt
Filed under: Homo sapiens (human)
Lineage: Eukaryota; Metazoa; Chordata; Mammalia; Primates; Hominidae
Description: HSALNT0249654
Source: RNAcentral